UACGUAGGGCGCAAGCGUUGUCCGGAAUUAUUGGGCGUAAAGAGCUCGUAGGCGGUUUGUCGCGUCUGCUGUGAAAACCUAAGGCUCAACCUUGGGCUUGCAGUGGGUACGGGCAGACUAGAGUGAUGUAGGGGAGACUGGAAUUCCUGGUGUAGCGGUGAAAUGCGCAGAUAUCAGGAGGAACACCGAUGGCGAAGGCAGGUCUCUGGGCAUUAACUGACGCUGAGGAGCGAAAGCAUGGGGGAGCGAACAGG
RNAcentral lists this ribosomal RNA (254 nucleotides) under uncultured bacterium. RNAcentral's name for it is "partial 16S ribosomal RNA". It matches the Rfam family "Bacterial small subunit ribosomal RNA", at positions 524 to 776 of the family's 1533-position model. The record is from RNAcentral.